Pyrus x bretschneideri (Chinese white pear) is the source of this 1978-nucleotide long non-coding RNA. RefSeq lists it as uncharacterized. The transcript has 2 exons. Lineage: Eukaryota; Viridiplantae; Streptophyta; Magnoliopsida; Rosales; Rosaceae. The record is from RefSeq and is a predicted model, not a curated record.
UUGAAAAUUGUGUGAUGUUGAUAAAUUCAUGUUAUUCACUUUCUUACAACAAAAUCAUAAAAAUUGCAUGAUGUCUUUGACACAAAGUGUUGAAUCAUUUGGGAAUUUGACAAUAUGGAUUUAAAUUUAAAAUCCUGUACAAGCUAUUGGAUUUGUGUGACGAUUUUUUAUUGGUUGGGCCCAUACGGCAUUGGGUUUCCAUAUUCUCCUAAGAUUGUGAAACAAAAAAAAAAAAAAUAAAAGGCAGCACGUUGUAUUAUGCCCAUAGGAAAAAUUGUGUACCGAAAAAAGGCAUAAAAAAAGUUCAAAGCAUUCUCUGUUUCUCGAUCUCCUUCAAUCCCUCUCUAUCUGCGGGUCUCUCUCUCUCUCCUUCAAUUCACAUAGAAGUUCAUCUCUUUUAUCCCAGGUCCAGAAGUUCGUUUUAUCGAAAAAAACAUGGGUGCUAGUGCUACCUUGAAACGUCGUCGUCCCUCAUCUGCCGACCGGGAGAGGGAGAACAUGGCUGCUGCCUCAAAGCGUUGUCGUCUCCUCUCUGCCGACUGUAGGGAGAGAAAGAACACGUGAGCUACCUUGAAACGCCGUCGCGGUCGCUCAUCUGGCGAAUGGGAGACAGAGAACGUGGGUGCUUCCUCCAAACGUCGUCGUCAGUGCUCAUCUGCCAACUGGGCAAGCCUUCCCUCUCCCGCUCUCGUUUUGAUUACGGAUAAGCUGUUGGAGCAGGUUGACCUUGUCCGCUUUGCUGUUGUUUGCAAGGAUUGGCAUGCUUUUGCUCAAGAAUAUAAGGAUACAACAAAACGUUGUGGUAUGUCACUUCCCAUGCUUAUGAUCCGUCCACUUUUAAGAUAUACCAAAGGAAAGGGAUAAGCGAGAACUGUACAGGGUCUCCGAUGGAAAGGUGUAUAAAAAUGUUUUGUUAUCAGUGCCUUGGAGUAAAAGGUGUUGUGGCUCCAACCAAGGCUGGCUCGUCUCAGUAGAUGCACUAGACAAACUUCGAUUGUCCGUGACUCUCAUGAACCCUUUCAGAAAAGCAGUGGCUCCCGUUCUUCUCCCUCCCUUGGAUAACCCCAAUGCUGGUUCCUUCUAUUUCUAUGGUUGGUUCCCAAAGGUAAUCUUACACGGUGAGCCUGUUAUGAAUAAUCGAGACAGUAAAUAUGCUGUUUUAGCAAUCUACGACAGAAUAAGUGAUGAUAGUGAUCAUAGGUUGGCUUUCUUUGAAGAGGGACAAAAGAGGUGGACUUACAUCGACAACCAAGAGAACUAUCUCAGUGAUGCUAUAAUUUAUAAAAGCCAAGUCUACGGAGUUGGACGAUCGGAGCGAUUUGGUCAUUCAACUUUAAUAGCAAGCCGCCAAAAGCAAAGGUUCUUACACCUAACCAUAGUCGAUUCGCAAUUAAGGGAUAUCUUGUGGAAUCGACUAAUGGAGACCUAUUGCAUGUUCGAAGAUUUUUGAAAGAGGAGGCCAAAGAGUUCUGGACUGAAGGCUUCCAUGUUUACAAGUUGGUGUUCAAGGGGAAGGACGAAUCCGCUGUGGAGCAAGUUGAGGUAAAAAGCAUUGGAGGUGAGGCCAUAUUUGUGGGUGACAACUAUUCAAUGUCUGUAUUGGCUUCAGACCGUCCCGGGCUUCAACCAAAUUGCAUAUAUUACACCGAUGAUUUGGAAGAGGUUGCGGGCAAACCGACGUAUUUUAAUUACAAAGGACCAAGUGACAUGGGCAUCUUCAAUUUAGAGGAUGAGACCAUCGCAAGACACUACUCUUCAAGUCCUCGGAGCAUUACUAAUAAUCCAGCUGCCUUUUGGAUUGUGCCACCGUCUAACGGAUUCUGCUGACUUCCCGUUUCCCGUGUUACACCUAUUGCAUGUUGCUGCAAAUUAAGCAAAAGUCUAGCUGUGUAUUUGUUGCAGCUCUAAUUAACGUUGCAUUGUUCUAAAUUUCUAUAAACCUCCCUUAAUUUAAAUCUAAAUGUCACAUUGUUCCCUA